Molecule: transfer RNA, 91 nt
Filed under: Patescibacteria group bacterium
Lineage: Bacteria
Description: tRNA-OTHER
Source: RNAcentral
UGGGGCGACUCUGAGCACGAAAAUGGUAAAACCUGCGGUUACUUGUAUGGGGUACAAGUGGUCGCAGGUUCAAAUCCUGUCGCCCCGACCA